Coprinopsis sp. MPI-PUGE-AT-0042 is the source of this 106-nucleotide non-coding RNA. The record is from the annotation of a GenBank genome assembly. Lineage: Eukaryota; Fungi; Basidiomycota; Agaricomycetes; Agaricales; Psathyrellaceae.
GGCGCUAUAGCCAAGUGGUUACGGCGACAGAUUCGAACAUCGCCCUGUGCGAGAGGCGAUCAUCUGUUCCUCUUUGAGGGCGCAGGUUCAAAUCCUGCUGGCGUCG